Molecule: long non-coding RNA, 248 nt
Filed under: Homo sapiens (human)
Lineage: Eukaryota; Metazoa; Chordata; Mammalia; Primates; Hominidae
Description: non-protein coding lnc-PIK3CB-1:1
Source: RNAcentral
GAUCCCAGCCUAACCUGGCCCGGCUGGCUGCUGGUGGGAGGCCGGCGACUGAGUAAGCUUUUGCUUCAAAGCAAGGUUCUGCCCCUUCAUGUCACCUCUCCUGAGACAGAAUGAUUUGGUUGAGAUGACAUUCCAUUUUAACUCUUUCCUAUUUGGGAUGAAGAUCCAGUUUCAGACAUGAGACUCGUUGGGUGAUCAUUUCAUUGAGAUCAACCUGAAUGACCAGGUGUAAAGUGCAAGAGUAAUAU